UACGUAGGGCGCAAGCGUUGUCCGGAAUUAUUGGGCGUAAAGAGCUCGUAGGCGGUCUGUCACGUCGGAUGUGAAAACUCGGGGCUCAACCCCGAGCCUGCAUUCGAUACGGGCAGACUUGAGUUCGGUAGGGGAGCGGGGAAUUCCUGGUGUAGCGGUGAAAUGCGCAGAUAUCAGGAGGAACACCAGUGGCGAAGGCGCCGCUCUGGGCCGAGACUGACGCUGAGGAGCGAAAGCGUGGGUAGCAAACAGG
Molecule: ribosomal RNA, 253 nt
Filed under: uncultured bacterium
Lineage: Bacteria
Description: partial 16S ribosomal RNA
Rfam family: Bacterial small subunit ribosomal RNA
Source: RNAcentral